This is a transfer RNA of Camelus ferus (Wild Bactrian camel), 72 nucleotides long. It matches the Rfam family "tRNA". Rfam says of the family: Transfer RNA (tRNA) molecules are approximately 80 nucleotides in length. Their secondary structure includes four short double-helical elements and three loops (D, anti-codon, and T loops). Lineage: Eukaryota; Metazoa; Chordata; Mammalia; Artiodactyla; Camelidae. The record is from Rfam.
GAGGGUAUAGCUCAGUGGUAGUGUGCGUGCUUAGCAUGCACAAGGUCCUGGGUUCAACCUCCAGUACCUCCG